RNAcentral lists this transfer RNA (85 nucleotides) under Desulfocurvibacter africanus. RNAcentral's name for it is "tRNA-Leu". It matches the Rfam family "tRNA". Rfam says of the family: Transfer RNA (tRNA) molecules are approximately 80 nucleotides in length. Their secondary structure includes four short double-helical elements and three loops (D, anti-codon, and T loops). Further hydrogen bonds mediate the characteristic L-shaped molecular structure. tRNAs have two regions of fundamental functional importance: the anti-codon, which is responsible for specific mRNA codon recognition, and the 3' end, to which the tRNAs corresponding amino acid is attached (by aminoacyl-tRNA synthetases). tRNAs cope with the degeneracy of the genetic code in two manners: having more than one tRNA (with a specific anti-codon) for a particular amino acid; and 'wobble' base-pairing, i.e. permitting non-standard base-pairing at the 3rd anti-codon position. The record is from RNAcentral. RNAcentral also lists the same sequence under 2 other names. Lineage: Bacteria; Pseudomonadati; Thermodesulfobacteriota; Desulfovibrionia; Desulfovibrionales; Desulfovibrionaceae.
GCGGAAGUGGUGGAAUUGGUAGACACGCUAUCUUGAGGGGGUAGUGGCAAUUGCCGUGGGGGUUCGAGUCCCCCCUUCCGCACCA